Molecule: non-coding RNA, 3046 nt
Organism: Xyrichtys novacula (pearly razorfish)
Lineage: Eukaryota; Metazoa; Chordata; Actinopteri; Labriformes; Labridae
Source: the annotation of a GenBank genome assembly
UUUACACUUUUUAUGCUAUAUUUAUAUUUUACUCUCUGAUGAAAAGACCCUCCAUGUGUCCUUUCACUCUUCAUCAAAAUCAUGUUUGGUUCUGACCCAAAUAUUCAGCUCUGCAGGUUCAGGUGAACACAGAGUCAGUCCACAGGACUUCAGACCAUGCAGAACUGAAGUGUCACAGCAGCUGCAGUCCAGCUGGUCACCAGUCUUACAUCUGGUUCAAGAAUGGAGAGAAAAUUCAGACAGAAACAGCUACUUUUUUGGUCCGCUUGGAUUCUGUGGACAGCUACGCCUGUGCUCUGAGAGGAUUUGAGGACUUUCCCUCUCCUUCAGUCUGUAAGUUUAACGUACGCCCAGCUGCUGUUUUGUACAACUGUUUUUUUUUUUACAGGUCUCCACAUGAAAAAUGAUAUUUUACUGAUAUAAAAUAUCUGUUUUUGUUUUUUUUUUAUUGUAGGUAUUUAUGGUCGAUACUGCAACAAUGUGAUGUACAUGAUGAGAAGGAUCUGUGCCCCUAAAGGUUCAUCAGUGGACAUUUCAUGCUCAUACUACAGUUACUGGGGUCGUGCAUCAAAAUUCUGGUUUAGUCCUGAACGCAGUCACCAGUGGAAGACUGAAACGCAGCCUGAAGACGUACGGAAGGACUCCAAGUAUGAAGGUCGUAUUGAAGUCUUAGAAACUUGGGGAGGACAGUCCAUUCUGAGAAUCUCUGAACUGAGAGAGAGUGACUCGGCCGAGUAUCGCUUCAAGUUUAAAUCAAUGAGCUUUGAAUGGAGGAGCAGUUUACCUGGUACAAAUCUGACCGUCACAGGUACUGAAGAACACACCAAAUACAGCAGUACAUUUUGCAAACUUUUACCUCCUCUCAGUAAGAUUCCUUUCCCCGAGUGUUUUUUUGUGAUUAUUCAAAGUGUUUGCAUGAAAGUGUUUUCGGGUAAACACAAACAAAAGUGCUUAUAACUCUAUUUGAAGCACUCUCACUGUUAUCCUUCUAUAUUCUGGAUGUCCAGCUCCGCAGGUGCAGGUAACUUCUGUAACAGUCAAAGAGGAUUAUACUGAAGCAUCACUGAAGUGUCACAACAGCUGCACUAUAUCUGGUGGCAUUUCAUAUGUCUGGUUCAAGAAUGGAGAAAAAAUCCCAAAUGAGGAGAGCUCCUCUCAUGAUGACUGGUUUUUGCCAGGAAACUCCAUCUCCUGUGCUCUGAAAGGGCUUGAAGAGUAUGGCUCCUCCACACUGUGUGAGUUUGCUCCGCUAUGGCCGCCUUCAGAGGGGUCAACCACAUUUAAUGGCUUGUCACAUUAGCUACUUAUUUUAUUGGUCAGUGAUUUUUUUCUCUACAGAUGCUCUGAAUGCUCCCUCAGUGUCAGCAAGUCCUCCUGGUGAAAUAACAGAGGGCAGCUCGGUCACUUUGAACUGUAGCAGUGAUGCUAACAUUAAAGCUACAUACACCUGGUACAAGAGGAACCAAGCACUGUCCUGUGAAAAACCACAGCUUAUUUUCACUUCCAUCCAGUCCUCUGACUCUGGAGAGUACCACUGUGCAGCUGAGAACGAGCUGGGGAGGAGAGCGUCCAAACCCAUCUCUGUUGAUGUCAAAUGUGAGUGAAAGACUCUUAAAUGGCUGAAAAUAUUUAUCUAUGAUUUGGGAAAACUGUCUUGUGGUCUGACAAAUCAGAAUUUGGCUUUCUCUUUGGAAAUCAUGGAUGCACCCCCAGUGGCAUAGGUAUAGAUAAGAAACGAGAGCAUGAGUAGCUUACCCAUCAGGGGAAGCAUCAUUGAUGGUAAAAAUCAGAAGAAGGUUUUGGAGGAACGUAGUACCACCCACCAUCUCGUAAAUUUCAGCAAGACAAUGCCAAAGCUCCUUAUACACAUAUAGAACAACAUGGCUCUGUGGUAGAAGAGUCCUGGUGUUAAACUAGUCCUAAACUGAUCUGCCUAGAUGUUAAAUCUGUUGAUUUCCUCCUCCAGAUCCUCCAAAGCUUCCCUCUGUGUCGGUGAGUCCCUCUGCUGAGAUAGAUGAGGGCAGUUCAGUGACUCUCACCUGCAGCAGCGAUGCUAACCCUGCAGCUAACUAUACCUGGUACAAGGAGAAUGAAAUCUUUCCACAAGCUUUAGGACAGACCUUCACCAUCACUGACUUUAGUGCCAGCAACAGUGGGAAUUAUUACUGUGAAGCUCAUAAUGGAAUAGGAUUUCACAACUCCACCUCAAUUCUGAUUGUUGUAUCAGAAUGUCCUUGUACCAUGUCCUCUGAAUAUCAUCCAACAGGGAUGCAGAUUGAGGGAGAAUCUAUGAGCUGACAUUCCCAUCCCAUCAUUAGCAUUGAUUAUGUUUCAAUCCUCAGUAAGAAUAUUGAAGGAAAACCUCAUUUUCCAAGCUGGACAAACAUGUUUUCUCUGCAAAGAAAUAUCAUUUUAGGUGUGUCAAAUGUCCAUCUUUAAUUCUAGGGGACUCAAUAUUAAGAAUAAAUGUCAUCAGGUUGACUCUGUUGCCCUUGGUGCUGAUCCCUCUGCUCCUCCUGAUUCUGUGGUCCAGGUAAAACCAUGAAAAAUCAUCUGUCACCUUUCCUUUAUCUUCUUCACCACAUGCCUGAGUUUCAAUUUUUGACUUUUUCAAUGUUUAAAGUUAUUUGUUGUUUUUUUUUUAGGAAGAAAAAGACUCUGAGCUCCACUAGUGAGCCCGUUAAACCUGCAGAGAUGAUAGAGGUGAGACUUAAGGAGACGUCUGAUGAAGUACUCUGGAAGUGGUUAAGAAAUGGAGGGAGUUUAAGAUUGAAAUAAACCUUUGGGGGAAUUUUUAAGUAAAUCUAAAACAAGAUAAAACUAAUUACUGAACAAAAAUCUCAUCACUUGUCAUCAGUUAAACCCCAGUCCUAAGAGUGAGGACAUCUCAGCUGUCCCUUCAGCACAGGCAGAGGACACAGAGGAGCAGGAAGACAUUGUGUGAGGUCCAGUCCAGGCUAGAUCCUCCUAAACUGAAGAAAAACAGAUGAGCUCUUUACAAGGCUGGGACUCACUGAGGAGAACAAGGCUGCAGAUUAUCUUUCAC